This 4405-nucleotide ribosomal RNA is filed under the name Ophiocordyceps sinensis. RNAcentral's name for it is "large subunit ribosomal RNA". The stretch from base 292 to 955 matches the Rfam family "Bacterial large subunit ribosomal RNA". Lineage: Eukaryota; Fungi; Ascomycota; Sordariomycetes; Hypocreales; Ophiocordycipitaceae. The record is from RNAcentral.
UAAGUAUAUAAAGAAACUAUUAUGGAAUUUAUGCCAUGUAUCAAAGAGAAAUAUUUAUAUCCAUAGGUAAUAAACUCCUAUAUUUUUAACUCUGGGGCCUAUUUCAUUAGCCCAAGCACAAAGGGACUGAUUGAAACCCUGGGUUAAUAACCUUAUUUCAGGCUGCGCUAUUUAUAAAUAUGCUAAAGCUCUUUAUUUUGAAGUUUAUUUAAGAAUUGUAAACUUACUAUUUACUAUAAAAUAAUUAUGAAAAUUGUCUUGCUGGGCCUCCAGUAACGCACAAAUUUUCAUAUCUUAGAAAUUAAGGGAGCUGCUAUCUCUCAGAUUGUUUGCUUAUUGCUUUAUAAAGUCGCAAAGUAAACUGUGGGCAAAGCAGAAUAUUGGGGGUAACUUCCUAUAAGUUACAUAAGCUCUAAGAGAAAUCUAAUCUCUAAACGAAGUGAAUUGAAAUAUCUUAGUAACUUCAGGAAAAUAAAUCAAAAGAGAUUCUAUGAAUAACGUGAGUGAAAAUAGAGUAGCCUAUAAAGUAGAACGGUACAAAAACUGUUUAAAUAAUGGGGAACCUUCCUCAAAGGCUAAAUAUGAUACAUGAGCGAUAGUGAAAAGUACCAUGAGGGAACUUAAACGAAAAUAGUAGUUUUAUAAGCAGUUCGAUAAAAAGAACGUACCUUUUGCAUAAGGGGUCACCAAGUUAACGUUAGAUGCGAGCAUAUGCGUAGUUAAACCGGACGUUAAAAUAACGAAACAGUGUCUAAGUUAGACCCGAAGCACGGUGAUUUUACCAUAGUCAGGAUUAUAAAAGUCCGAACGGGUGAUUGUAGCAUAAAUCUCCGAAGAACUGUGGUAGGUGUAGUGAAAGACAACACUGACUGUGAUAGCUGGUAGGCCUCAUUCGAAAGAAUGCAAUGGCAAUAAAAUAAUUAUGAAUUGUUCUCAUAAAUUAAGUUUACGAUUAAAAUAAUUUACGUAUUACAAAAAACAAAACAUCAUGAGAAAUAUAUUUAACAAUCAGACAUCUUCAAUAAUACCUAUAAAAAGUUAUAGUAAUGCAAUUUUAAAUAAAAAUUCAAUAUUAUUAGAUAACAAAAAUAAAUCAGGUAUCUAUAAAUGAAUAAAUAACGUCAAUGGUAAUAGUUAUGUAGUGGUUUAAAUUUAGCAAAAAGAGUAGGUGAUUAUUAUAAGGAAAGUGAAUUAAAAAGAAAUCCUAGACCUAUUCAUGCUGCUUUAUUAAAACAUGGCCAUACUAAUUUUACUUUACAAAUAUUAGAGUAUUGUAAGCCAGAAGAACUUAUUAACAGAGAACAGCAUUAUUUGGAUAUAGUUAAACCUGAAUAUAAUAUUUUAAAAAAUGCUUAUUCUUUAUUAGGUUUUAAACAUAGUGAUGAAAAUAUAGUUAAGUUUAAAUUAAAAUCUAUUUCUGAAGAGCAUAAAAGAAUAUUAUCAUCAGUACAUUUAGGUAAAAAAGUUAGUCAGGAAGUUAAAGAUAAAUUAUCUUUAGCUACCACUAACUAUAGAAAAAACAAUCCUUUAUCAGCAGAAGCUUUAGCAAAUAUUACAGCUAAAACUGCAGAGCGUGAAGGUAAAUCAGUUAGACUUUUAAAUAUUGAGACUAACGAAAGAUUAGAUUUUUCUACUUUAACUAAAGCUGGUGAAUAUUUAGGUAUUAAAAGACAAGCUGUAAGAAAUGCAAUUAAUAGAGGAAGUAUAGUUAAGAAACUCUAUCGUAUUUCAGAGUUAGAUUAACAUUAUAAUUAUUUUAAAUUUAAUAAUUUUUUUUUAUUAAAUACGGGGGCUUACGAAGUUAGCCGUAAAUGAACCCGUUGUCUAAAUGGAUAGUUCACAAAUAUUAUAUGAACUAUUUAGGGAUAAAUUCUGUUUAUAAGCAGAUUCCGUGUAUGUCAAAAGGGAAACAGCCCUGAACAAGAGUUAAGGUGCUUUGUGGCCUAGGAAACCACUUAUAUGUGCCUGUUUUAAAGAAUCAAACUCCGGGGACACCCUAAAGCUCCUAAUACCAAACUUAACGGCGAAAGUCUUAAGCGGAUCAGCUAAUCACUGGUGUAUGGUAACAAGUUAGGUAGAUUCUAGUAAUAGAAAUGGGCUAUCGCGGAUCUAAAUCAGUAAUAUGUUAUACUGUAAAAGAGCAACGAGUAGACGGUUCUUCAAUAUUAUUUAAAUAUUGUAAGGUGUACUCUAGCGAAAUUUUAGUAAUAAAACGACCUAUCUCUACAGACCCUAUGCAGCUUUACUGUCACUAAUUAUAGAGUAUGUUAGAGAAUUCCCAGAUUAUAAGGUAAUUGACAAUGUGACUAUGUGAAUCCUUUAUUUAUCUUUCAUAUGAAUGAAUUGGUUUAGGAUUAUAAAGAAGUUAAUAUUAAUCUGGCUUUACUGAGUCCUUUUUUUUUAGCUAGCCCCUAAUCCCCGAAGGGGAUACGGGACCAGGAAGCUAAAAAAAAAAACAAAAAGAUUAUAGAAACAAUAUAAUUUAUAAUAGUAAAUCAACCUAAUUCAGUUUACUAUUUUUAAUAGUAAGUGACCUUUGGUAAGGAACUAUCGCUAGGAGACAGUUUAUGUGGGGCACAGACCCUGUAAAGAGUAAACAGGAGUGUCUAAUAAUUUAUAAUUAUUUUGUUUGCUAUUUUGAGUAGUUUAACUAUUUUUAAUCAUAUAUAAUUAUUUAUAUUUGCUGGGGGCAUGCAUGCUUCUUUGGGGUACAGAAGUAUGCAGCCCAUUAUACACUAAAUAUAUUUAAGUUUAAUUUAGGUAGGAUUUUAACUAUGUAGAAAUUAGAGAUAAUUGAAAAUAUUAUGUAAAUUUUAAGGCUGUGCUAUCUUUUUAUAAAUAUGCUAAAGCUUAUAUUAAAGUUUUCUAAUAUUUUAGAGCUAUUUUUUUGUCUUGCUAUUGCUGCAUGUUUCUACGAAGUAAGCAGCGCUAUUUUUUUUUAAUAGCGUGCAUGUUUCACUAUUUUUUACUUAUUUUAUUAUUUUGGCUGUUUCUACGCAGUGUUUCACACUGCUAGAAACAGCCAGAAAUAACUAAAAUAAUAAAAAAAUGAACAGCAGAAAAAUGCUGCUAGAAAAAAGGAAUAGUUAUGUUUUGAAUAUCUAAAAAGCUCAACGGCUAAAUCUUGCCUUACUGUUUGAUUAUCUACAAAUCUUACAGUUGCGUAAGCAGGGCAUAGGAUCACAAGAUGCAAUAAGGAUAGAUCUUGGAUUAUUGGAAAAGCUACGCUAGGGAUGUUUGUCCUUUAAUAUUUUAUUUUAAUAGUAUUUUUGUCUUGCUGCUUUUAGUAGCUGGCCUUCUGUAUUUUUAUAUAAACCCGCCUGCUGCUGCUUGCAUAUUUUUUUCUUCUUACUGCUGCUGCUUGCAUAUUUUUUUCUUCUUACUGCUGCUGCUUGCAUAUUUUUUUCUACGUAGUGUUACACCACUUCGUAUAAAAAAAUCUGCAGCAAGCUAAAGCUAAAGCUAUGAAAAAAAUCAGCAGGAACAAAAAAUACGCUAACUAUCUUGCUGAUCCCUUUUAUUCCCCAGCUGCGUAAGCUAAAGCUAGGGUUGUAAGGGGCGCAUCUUUCUACGAAGUGUGUUUUUUUAAUUAUUUCUGCUGCUGUUUCUAGCAGCGUAUAAACAGCCAUCUAUAACUAAAAGAAUAAAAAAAAAAAUGAGCAAGGAUACACAUGUUUUACAGCAGCAGGGAUGCGCAAACUAGAAGUAUGCAAGACAGAAAAAUAGGCUAAAACUCUUGCUUUAUUAAUUAUGUCUUAGUUAAUAAAGCAAGGAAUAAAAUUAUUAAUACAUAAGUCGGCUUAACUUAUCCUCAUGGAUGCAGGAACUAUGUAGGGUGCGACUGUUCGUCGAUUAAAAAGUUACAUGAGCUGGGUAAAGUAUUUAGCCCAGAAAUUAAUUGGCCUGCGAAGCAGGCUAAUUGUUAAUAAAAGAACCAUUUAGGAAUAAAUGGAAAAAAGAAAUUUUUGAUAACAUAUAGUAAAUACGUCGUGAGACAGUAUGGUUUCUAUCUUCUAGAGGGAAUUAGAAUAAAAUAAGAACAAACUUUUGUACGCAAGGAACAAGAAGAGUUUAACUCAUAAGGUUAAAAUAUGGUUACUAACCUAUGGUUUACCUGUUGUUUAUGUGCCUAAAUAUUAAAUAUAUAUAUGCUUUUGUAUAUAUAUAUCUUCUGUAUUAUUAUACAUAGGGAUGUUUCUUUUACUAAGACAAAUGUAUAGCAUAAGCACGGCAGGAACGCUAAGUUAGUUAAAGAUAAGUGCUGAAAGCAUAUAGGCACGAAACUUAUCUUAAGAUAUUUCUUAAAUAUACGUAAUAUACUAUUACGAAAUUUAUAGGCUUUAUCCGUACGAAUCUUGAGAUUUUAAAGAAUAAAGUACUAAUUUAAUAAUUCACUAUUUAUAAA